CUUAGUUUGAAUGAAUUUUUGAGUUGUUUUUAUACUUUAUGCUUUUCUAAAGCUCUUUGUUGAAUAUAGAGUUUAGGAUUUACAUUUUAGAGUUAUACAUUUGAUUGAAAUAUGGUUAGGUCUUAUAUUUUCUAUCUUUUUGUUUGGUUCUUCUUGGUUAGCUUAAUAAUAUGUUAUUUUAUUUGUUUAUCAUGCUAUUGUUGUCUGAUAAAUUGACCUUCUUUUAGGUUGCUGGAGCUCACUGGAGUUCACGGAAGUGUCUUAUCAUCAGAAGGGUGAUAGACUCUUCUAACCUCACCACCAUCAACGCCUCCGGUGAGCACCUACAUUGUAGAGAGUUUAACAAAUGCGUUGAGAAGACACUGUAGAAGUACUGGAGGAAUGCAUUGAAAGUUUGAAUUUUGUCAUUGAUGGGACACUCUUAUUCAUGUUGAUGUAGCAAGUGGUGGUUUUAUGGCACUUUCCCUGUACCCAAAUCUUGAUGGGAUUUCUGUUUACUAAUGCCAUUUCUUCUUAUGUUUGUUGUGAGUGAUGACCUAUAAACACUUUGUUAUGUGUAUUUUGAUUUCAUCAAUUAAAUUUCUUUUAAAUAA
Long non-coding RNA from Dioscorea cayenensis subsp. rotundata (Guinea yam), 593 nucleotides. RefSeq lists it as uncharacterized. The transcript has 3 exons. The record is from RefSeq and is a predicted model, not a curated record. NCBI's taxonomy places the organism in Eukaryota, Viridiplantae, Streptophyta, Magnoliopsida, Dioscoreales, Dioscoreaceae.